GCUUAUUUCCGCUAGGUGGCGGUAAUUCAUCUAAAAGCUGUUUGCCAGCCGCUUUGUAGAGAAAGGCGAAGAAAGCUCGAGCUGGUUUGAACCGAUUAGCCAUGUGGUUAAAAAUGAAAGAGCCACGUUGUACUGAUAAAGCAGAUGCUACUAAUUACAAGAAACUUGCCUGGGGAGUAAGAAAAGUGUUUAGUACCAGUCACGGUGGAUUGCGCUGAAUGGAUGAGGCGUCCCGUCGGUUUAAAUUGGAGUUCAAGAGUCGGGAAGCGAAAGGAAAAAUCCUGUGAAGAUUCAAAGGCUCGGCUCUGCAGACUUGAACUGGAACGUCUUUGUCUCUAAAGGCAGAAGAUCAAAGAAGUAACUGUGGGAUGGGACGUUUUUAGUUCAACAAGUGUCCUGUUAUAGCCUCGGUUAAAGAGUUUCAAUGCUGGUAAGCAUGAAGAGGCUUUACUCAUGUUUUAAAAAGACAGAAUAAGAAGUUAAUAUUUUUAAAAUAGCUUAUACUAUUAAAAAUACCAUAGCUUACAAGUUAUGAUAUUGGAAAUGUACUAGAGCAGUGGUCCCCAACCCCCGGGCCGCAGACCGGUACCGGGCCGCGCAAGAAAUAAUUAAAUAUUUCUGUUUUAUGUAUUGUUUGAGUCUGGAGGAUCUUUUAUUUUGAAAAUCCUUUAACCAGAUUCUCUCGGUUACAUCUUGCGCCCAACAUUGAGCCCACAAGCAGCAAAAUGAGUAAGAAACAGAUCAGAUGUCUUUGGAAAGUUUCUUUGCGAAGGGGAAAAGGCCCAGAAAAGAGACAGGAGAAUGGAUUUAUCCCGGCAGAUGAUUCCCACAUUCCAAGCCCACUCUGCAUGAUAUGCGGUGACCGGCUCGCUAAUGAGGGAAAGAAGCCUUCAAACUGCUUUGCCACAUAGAGACCAGGCACCCUGUACAUAAGCAACACUUCGGGUGUUAUUGUCUCUCAUCACUCCCAGAUGGGACCGUCUCGUUGCAGAGAAACAAGCUCAGGGCUCCCAUUAGUCGUUAUCAUGAGUUAAACUUUUCACAAAAGUAAAAUGUUUGUUUUUGUGGCGUCUGUCUGUAUCUUAUUUUGAAGGGAUAUGUAAACGUUACCAUAGCGACCAGAGUCAGAGCGUUAUGGGCAGUGGUCGAGACAAGAUGAGAGGAGUGGAGCUUGUGAGUUUUAGGUCUGGUUCACACGGCACGAUUUAAGGAUUGUCGGCAGAUUUUCCAAACUUUGGUGACCACACACGACACGAGCCAAUAAAAGUCCAACAGGUUCGACCUUUUAAACUAAAGGUCUUAACUGCCAUAAGAUAAUUUGUUGAGGUAAAAAAAACAGUGAAGCCUUUGCUGAAUGUCAUAUUUCAACAGUUCUUAAUGUGACAUUGUAAUCCAGCUAGUCGCAUCUUGGUGUUCUUGUGGAGGGGACAGAGUUUGUCAGAGGAGGAUUGCAGGUUGAGGGAUUGUGUUGCAUCAGCGGCCACCACACUUAAACAUUUGCGUUUUGCUUUUGUCAGCCAGACCAGACAGGUUUCAUAAUGCAGGAACGCUUCUGGUUGGGUGGUAUAUUGGAAUUUUGAUUAACGCAUUUCACAAGAAAUACUGCAAGAAAAAAAGGAUUGAGCUUGUUGCUGGGUAAUAAAAUGACUUAAAAUGUAUUAUUGAGGAACAGAGAAUAAUCUCAAUAGAGGGAGACUUUAAAAUCCAACAAGACAGACUAUAUGUUUUAUAAGACGGUAUGUAGGGCCAGUAUUGUUUACUAUAAUUUUUGAGAAUGUAUUUGCAAUAUUAACAGAACAAUGGGUCUUGUACAUGUAUUGCUAGUUAAGAAAAUAUAAUUUCACCACUUUACAUAUAAUCCAUAAUAACCUACAAUGCAUAAGGGAAUUAUGUGUUUAGGUUAAUUUUUAAAGUUAAAUAUGUUUUAACGUUGUGUGACACAUUUCUCUUAGAACUGGACUGUUGAUGUGAAACUGUUGUGAUAAUUAUUGAACCUGUUCAAUAAAUAAGUAAACAUUGUGGUUA
Xiphophorus couchianus (Monterrey platyfish) is the source of this 2025-nucleotide long non-coding RNA. RefSeq lists it as uncharacterized. Lineage: Eukaryota; Metazoa; Chordata; Actinopteri; Cyprinodontiformes; Poeciliidae. The record is from RefSeq and is a predicted model, not a curated record. The transcript is spliced from 4 exons.